AGUAUGGAAAAUGUAUGUCGCUCUGGAUAAGAGCGUCUGCAAAAUGACGUAAA
Salmo salar (Atlantic salmon) is the source of this 53-nucleotide non-coding RNA. Lineage: Eukaryota; Metazoa; Chordata; Actinopteri; Salmoniformes; Salmonidae. The record is from Rfam.